GCAUUACGGCCUAAAGUAACAAGGCCAAUAAAACACAUUUAGUGUUGAACACAAGUAAACACUUCUAAAGCUACACACACUUGUUCAGGAUAUCAGGUUUCAAGGACACAAAUAUUUACAGGACUUCACCAAGGAGUCAGAAAGUCUUCUCUGAGUUGUGAUCUGGUGAAACUGUCUUGACUCACCUCCAUCUGUGGGGGUUUGGUUUGUGAGCUGAAGCAGCCAACAGCGCUGGCGUUGUUUUGACUGAUGCUCCUGGUCGGAGGCUUCGCCAAGGCAUUUAUGUUGGUGAACAGACUUGGAACCUCAUCCUCCAGCUGGAAGUUUCCGAUGUAAGCGGCUAAAGAGUCGACCAGACCUUGACGUUUUCUCAUCAUCUGUCUGCUGCUCUCCUUUGCACUGCUGAGGUUUCUGUUGAAAUUAAAGCCCAAGAUAUGAAUAAAUGUCUAAUGAUGAAACAGUCUUAUUUAAAAGAUGACAAUCCAACACAUGGAUUCCAAUUCCAGGAAUAUACAACAAUAGAAACAUAAAUAUGUCAAUAUUUACCUAAAUACCCUUCAGUAUUUGACAGUUUUAUGUUAUUGGAUUGAUGUGAAUCAUUUGCCACCAAAUGUGCCUUGCAGAGCAGGCACAUUGCUAGACCACACUGGGUGUUUGAACAGGACUACAAUAGGGGACAUGGCUCAUUUCAGAGCAGCCACGGAGCCAACCAUAGAGUGGGAACCUGGUGUGUGUGUGCACGCAGUAACAGGUGGAAGCAGAGCGGCUUUACCCUGGCUGAAGCUAGCGGUAAAACCUGAAUAUUGACUCAGAAUGGGCCAAUUGUAGGUUACAGCUAAUCACUUAUUCAUCCAGCAAGACAUGAGGUGAAGUUUUACUUAUGAGCAUCAUCAUAGAGUCAUCAUGACAGAGAGCAGAGGGACUUUCACUUGAGCUACAGUUAAAGUCAAAUGGCCUGGCCAUGAGAGCAAACAGUAGAAACCCUCUCA
This is a long non-coding RNA of Girardinichthys multiradiatus, 989 nucleotides long. RefSeq lists it as uncharacterized. The record is from RefSeq and is a predicted model, not a curated record. NCBI's taxonomy places the organism in Eukaryota, Metazoa, Chordata, Actinopteri, Cyprinodontiformes, Goodeidae. The transcript is spliced from 3 exons.